RNAcentral lists this ribosomal RNA (402 nucleotides) under uncultured bacterium. RNAcentral describes it as "partial 16S ribosomal RNA". It matches the Rfam family "Archaeal small subunit ribosomal RNA", at positions 473 to 873 of the family's 1478-position model. The record is from RNAcentral.
ACACCGGCAGCUCAAGUGGUAGCCGCUUUUAUUGGGCCUAAAGCGUCCGUAGCCGGUCUGAUAAGUCUCUGGUGAAAUCCCACAGCUUAACUGUGGGAAUUGCUGGAGAUACUAUCAUGACUCGAGGUCGGGAGAGGCUGGAGGUACUCCCAGGGUAGGGGUGAAAUCCUGUAAUCCUGGGAGGACCCCCUGUGGCGAAGGCGUCCAGCUGGAACGACCCUGACGGUGAGGGACGAAAGCCAGGGGCGCGAACCGGAUGAGAUCCCCGGGUGGUCCUGGCCGUAAACGAUGUGGACUUGGUGUUGGGAUGGCUUCGAGCUGCCCCAGUGCCGAAGGGAAGCUGUUAAGUCCACCGCCUGGGAAGUACGGCCGCAAGGCUGAAACUUAAAGGAAUUGGCGGGG